RNAcentral lists this unclassified non-coding RNA (552 nucleotides) under Hevea brasiliensis (rubber tree). Lineage: Eukaryota; Viridiplantae; Streptophyta; Magnoliopsida; Malpighiales; Euphorbiaceae. The record is from RNAcentral.
UGGCCCUAUAGAAGAGGUUGCAUCUGCCACAACGGAUUUCUGCAAAGCAGGUUGGGGAUUUACAUAUUGAGUAUGUUGAUGAGAUGUUGUGGACUGUGCAUAUGCUGGAGAAGAAUGGAUUGCUGGCUUAGUUGGCUGCAAUGCUGAUUUAGCAGCUGAAUUCGCAGACACAGCAAAUGGCUCCAAUGACUGAGCUUUCUUAAAUCGGUCAAGCCCUGCUCUACCAUACAUUUUGUCUGUAUCUUCAGCUCAAACUAUAAGCUCUUCCUCAGUUUUAUAAUAUUUCUGGCAUGGAUCCUUCUUACCACUACAUUAUCUCAGAAUUCCACGAACUCAGUUACCAUAUUAAAUAACACUCUUUGACACAAAAGUAAACAGAAGCAGCCAAAAACAAAAAUAGAGAAUGCCCCUUUUGUUGUAUGAGAUUUAGGGUUAAAUUUAACAGUUAAAGUUGAAGCUAGUAGCCGAUCGAAGGAAGCAAAGAUGGUGAAUUUGGGGAUUUUGAAGUUCAAUUCUUGAGUUUGGAAGAAACAACGGAGGCGAGAGAUAAAA